CAGUAGCCGCGGGAAUACGGAGGGUGCAAGCGUUAAUCGGAAUUACUGGGCGUAAAGCGUGCGUAGGCGGUUCGUUAAGUCUGUUGUGAAAGCCCCGGGCUCAACCUGGGAAUGGCAAUGGAUACUGGCGAGCUAGAGUGUGUCAGAGGAUGGUGGAAUUCCCGGUGUAGCGGUGAAAUGCGUAGAGAUCGGGAGGAACAUCAGUGGCGAAGGCGGCCAUCUGGGACAACACUGGCGCUGAGGCACGAAAGCGUGGGGAGCAAACAGGAUUAGAUACCCCCGUAGUCCCUGUCUCUUAUAC
RNAcentral lists this ribosomal RNA (301 nucleotides) under uncultured bacterium. RNAcentral describes it as "partial 16S ribosomal RNA". It matches the Rfam family "Bacterial small subunit ribosomal RNA", at positions 509 to 807 of the family's 1533-position model. The record is from RNAcentral.